This 423-nucleotide ribosomal RNA is filed under the name uncultured bacterium. Its description in RNAcentral is "bacterial SSU rRNA". It matches the Rfam family "Bacterial small subunit ribosomal RNA", at positions 207 to 622 of the family's 1533-position model. The record is from RNAcentral.
AAGACCUUGCGCUUUUGGAGCGGCCGAUGCCUGAUUAGCUUGUUGGUAAGGUAAAAGCUUACCAAGGCUUCGAUCAGUAGCUGGUCUGAGAGGACGACCAGCCACACUGGGACUGAGACACGGCCCAGACUCCUACGGGAGGCAGCAGUGGGGAAUUUUGGACAAUGGGGGCAACCCUGAUCCAGCCAUGCCGCGUGAGUGAAGAAGGCCUUCGGGUUGUAAAGCUCUUUCAGCCGGAACGAAACGGUUACGGAUAACACCCGUGACUACUGACGGUACCGGAGGAAGAAGCACCGGCUAACUACGUGCCAGCAGCCGCGGUAAUACGUAGGGUGCGAGCGUUAAUCGGAAUUACUGGGCGUAAAGCGUGCGCAGGUGGUUUUGUAAGUCAGAUGUGAAAGCCCCGGGCUCAACCUGGGAACU